AAAACAAAUACGUAGGGGGCAAGCGUUGUCCGGAAUUAUUGGGCGUAAAGGGCGCGUAGGCGGAUGUUUAAGUCCGGUGUGAAAGAUCAGGGCUCAACCCUGAGAGUGCAUCGGAAACUGGGCAUCUUGAGGACAGGAGAGGAAAGUGGAAUUCCACGUGUAGCGGUGAAAUGCGUAGAUAUGUGGAGGAACACCAGUGGCGAAGGCGACUUACUGGCCUGGCCCUGACGCUGAGGCGCGAAAGCGUGGGGAGCGAACAGG
Molecule: ribosomal RNA, 261 nt
Filed under: uncultured Peptococcaceae bacterium
Lineage: Bacteria; Bacillati; Bacillota; Clostridia; Eubacteriales; Peptococcaceae
Description: partial 16S ribosomal RNA
Rfam family: Bacterial small subunit ribosomal RNA
Source: RNAcentral